AGCGAACGCUGGCGGCAGGCCUAACACAUGCAAGUCGAACGAACUCUUCGGAGUUAGUGGCGGACGGGUGAGUAACACGUGGGAACGUGCCUUUUGGUUCGGAAUAACUCAGGGAAACUUGUGCUAAUACCGAAUGUGCCCUUCGGGGGAAAGAUUUAUCGCCAUUAGAGCGGCCCGCGUCUGAUUAGCUAGUUGGUGAGGUAACGGCUCACCAAGGCGACGAUCAGUAGCUGGUCUGAGAGGAUGACCAGCCACACUGGGACUGAGACACGGCCCAGACUCCUACGGGAGGCAGCAGUGGGGAAUCUUGCGCAAGGGGCGAAAGCCUGACGCAGCCAUGCCGCGUGAAUGAUGAAGGUCUUAGGAUUGUAAAAUUCUUUCACCGGGGACGAUAAUGACGGUACCCGGAGAAGAAGCCCCGGCUAACUUCG
This 431-nucleotide ribosomal RNA is filed under the name uncultured bacterium. RNAcentral's name for it is "partial 16S ribosomal RNA". It matches the Rfam family "Bacterial small subunit ribosomal RNA", at positions 29 to 505 of the family's 1533-position model. The record is from RNAcentral.